Molecule: ribosomal RNA, 933 nt
Filed under: Triticum aestivum (bread wheat)
Lineage: Eukaryota; Viridiplantae; Streptophyta; Magnoliopsida; Poales; Poaceae
Description: partial small subunit ribosomal RNA
Source: RNAcentral
AUGAAGGUCUCCGUCGUGUCCCGGAGCGGCCGCGAGGUCGUCAAGGGCGGCAUCGAGCUCAAGGACUCGGCCAAGGUCGCGGAUCUGCAGGAGGCCAUCCACGCCAAGACUAAGAAGUACUAUCCUGCUAGGCAACGGCUCACCCUCCCUGCACAGCCUGGAAAAUCUGGAAAGCCAGUUGUCCUCAAUCAAAAGGCCAGCCUAUCGGAAUACUGCGAGAAGGGUUCCGGGUCCCUGACAGUGGUCUUCAAAGAUUUAGGCCCGCAGGUCUACUACAGCACGCUCUUCUUCUGGGAAUACGUCGGCCCUCUUAUCAUCUACCCCAUCUUCUAUUACCUGCCCGUCUACAAAUACUUUGGAUAUGAGGGGGAGCGGGUCAUCCACCCCGUCCAGACGUACGCCAUGUACUACUUCUGCUUCCACUACUUCAAGAGGAUCAUGGAGACCUUCUUCGUCCACCGCUUCAGCCACGCGACUUCCCCCGUGUCAAACGUCUUCAGGAACUGCGCCUACUACUGGACCUUUGGAGCCUACAUUGCCUACUACUGCAACCACCCUCUGUACACCCCUGUGAGUGACCUGCAGAUGAAGAUCGGGUUCGGCAUCGGGGUCGUGUGCCAGAUCGCAAACUUCUACUGCCACAUCCUGCUGAGGAACCUCAGGAGCCCGACCGGCAGCGGCGGCUACCAGAUCCCUCGGGGCUUCCUGUUCAACAUCGUGACGUGCGCAAACUACACUACCGAGAUCUACCAAUGGCUGGGGUUCAACAUCGCCACGCAGACCGUGGCGGGCUACGUCUUCCUCGCCGUGGCGGCGGCUAUCAUGACCAACUGGGCGCUCGGGAAGCACAGCCGCCUGCGGAAGCUGUUCGACGGGAAGGAUGGGCGGCCCAAGUACCCCCGCCGAUGGGUGAUUCUUCCCCCAUUCCUGUGA